This 2539-nucleotide ribosomal RNA is filed under the name Escherichia coli. RNAcentral's name for it is "partial 23S ribosomal RNA". It matches the Rfam family "Bacterial large subunit ribosomal RNA", at positions 419 to 2925 of the family's 2925-position model. Lineage: Bacteria; Pseudomonadati; Pseudomonadota; Gammaproteobacteria; Enterobacterales; Enterobacteriaceae. The record is from RNAcentral.
GGGACACGUGGUAUCCUGUCUGAAUAUGGGGGGACCAUCCUCCAAGGCUAAAUACUCCUGACUGACCGAUAGUGAACCAGUACCGUGAGGGAAAGGCGAAAAGAACCCCGGCGAGGGGAGUGAAAAAGAACCUGAAACCGUGUACGUACAAGCAGUGGGAGCACAGAGCAAUCUGUGUGACUGCGUACCUUUUGUAUAAUGGGUCAGCGACUUAUAUUCUGUAGCAAGGUUAACCGAAUAGGGGAGCCGAAGGGAAACCGAGUCUUAACUGGGCGUUAAGUUGCAGGGUAUAGACCCGAAACCCGGUGAUCUAGCCAUGGGCAGGUUGAAGGUUGGGUAACACUAACUGGAGGACCGAACCGACUAAUGUUGAAAAAUUAGCGGAUGACUUGUGGCUGGGGGUGAAAGGCCAAUCAAACCGGGAGAUAGCUGGUUCUCCCCGAAAGCUAUUUAGGUAGCGCCUCGUGAAUUCAUCUCCGGGGGUAGAGCACUGUUUCGGCAAGGGGGUCAUCCCGACUUACCAACCCGAUGCAAACUGCGAAUACCGGAGAAUGUUAUCACGGGAGACACACGGCGGGUGCUAACGUCCGUCGUGAAGAGGGAAACAACCCAGACCGCCAGCUAAGGUCCCAAAGUCAUGGUUAAGUGGGAAACGAUGUGGGAAGGCCCAGACAGCCAGGAUGUUGGCUUAGAAGCAGCCAUCAUUUAAAGAAAGCGUAAUAGCUCACUGGUCGAGUCGGCCUGCGCGGAAGAUGUAACGGGGCUAAACCAUGCACCGAAGCUGCGGCAGCGACACUAUGUGUUGUUGGGUAGGGGAGCGUUCUGUAAGCCUGUGAAGGUGUACUGUGAGGUAUGCUGGAGGUAUCAGAAGUGCGAAUGCUGACAUAAGUAACGAUAAAGCGGGUGAAAAGCCCGCUCGCCGGAAGACCAAGGGUUCCUGUCCAACGUUAAUCGGGGCAGGGUGAGUCGACCCCUAAGGCGAGGCCGAAAGGCGUAGUCGAUGGGAAACAGGUUAAUAUUCCUGUACUUGGUGUUACUGCGAAGGGGGGACGGAGAAGGCUAUGUUGGCCGGGCGACGGUUGUCCCGGUUUAAGCGUGUAGGCUGGUUUUCCAGGCAAAUCCGGAAAAUCAAGGCUGAGGCGUGAUGACGAGGCACUACGGUGCUGAAGCAACAAAUGCCCUGCUUCCAGGAAAAGCCUCUAAGCAUCAGGUAACAUCAAAUCGUACCCCAAACCGACACAGGUGGUCAGGUAGAGAAUACCAAGGCGCUUGAGAGAACUCGGGUGAAGGAACUAGGCAAAAUGGUGCCGUAACUUCGGGAGAAGGCACGCUGAUAUGUAGGUGAAGUCCCUCGCGGAUGGAGCUGAAAUCAGUCGAAGAUACCAGCUGGCUGCAACUGUUUAUUAAAAACACAGCACUGUGCAAACACGAAAGUGGACGUAUACGGUGUGACGCCUGCCCGGUGCCGGAAGGUUAAUUGAUGGGGUCAGCGCAAGCGAAGCUCUUGAUCGAAGCCCCGGUAAACGGCGGCCGUAACUAUAACGGUCCUAAGGUAGCGAAAUUCCUUGUCGGGUAAGUUCCGACCUGCACGAAUGGCGUAAUGAUGGCCAGGCUGUCUCCACCCGAGACUCAGUGAAAUUGAACUCGCUGUGAAGAUGCAGUGUACCCGCGGCAAGACGGAAAGACCCCGUGAACCUUUACUAUAGCUUGACACUGAACAUUGAGCCUUGAUGUGUAGGAUAGGUGGGAGGCUUUGAAGUGUGGACGCCAGUCUGCAUGGAGCCGACCUUGAAAUACCACCCUUUAAUGUUUGAUGUUCUAACGUUGACCCGUAAUCCGGGUUGCGGACAGUGUCUGGUGGGUAGUUUGACUGGGGCGGUCUCCUCCUAAAGAGUAACGGAGGAGCACGAAGGUUGGCUAAUCCUGGUCGGACAUCAGGAGGUUAGUGCAAUGGCAUAAGCCAGCUUGACUGCGAGCGUGACGGCGCGAGCAGGUGCGAAAGCAGGUCAUAGUGAUCCGGUGGUUCUGAAUGGAAGGGCCAUCGCUCAACGGAUAAAAGGUACUCCGGGGAUAACAGGCUGAUACCGCCCAAGAGUUCAUAUCGACGGCGGUGUUUGGCACCUCGAUGUCGGCUCAUCACAUCCUGGGGCUGAAGUAGGUCCCAAGGGUAUGGCUGUUCGCCAUUUAAAGUGGUACGCGAGCUGGGUUUAGAACGUCGUGAGACAGUUCGGUCCCUAUCUGCCGUGGGCGCUGGAGAACUGAGGGGGGCUGCUCCUAGUACGAGAGGACCGGAGUGGACGCAUCACUGGUGUUCGGGUUGUCAUGCCAAUGGCACUGCCCGGUAGCUAAAUGCGGAAGAGAUAAGUGCUGAAAGCAUCUAAGCACGAAACUUGCCCCGAGAUGAGUUCUCCCUGACCCUUUAAGGGUCCUGAAGGAACGUUGAAGACGACGACGUUGAUAGGCCGGGUGUGUAAGCGCAGCGAUGCGUUGAGCUAACCGGUACUAAUGAACCGUGAGGCUUAACCUUACAACGCCGAAG